Xenopus tropicalis (tropical clawed frog) is the source of this 415-nucleotide long non-coding RNA. RefSeq lists it as uncharacterized. The transcript has 3 exons. NCBI's taxonomy places the organism in Eukaryota, Metazoa, Chordata, Amphibia, Anura, Pipidae. The record is from RefSeq and is a predicted model, not a curated record.
AGGGCAUGGGUGAUAUCUCCUCCACGAAAAUUUGGAGUGACUUUGUCAAUUCCUAUGACUGAUAAUAAAGGAAGUAAAGGAUUGAGUUUUAAGGACAAAAUUGCAUGUGAUGCCUACAGCCACAUUUGUACAUACUCUGAGUAGACAACCAAGUGUUGGAACUCUGUCCGUUUUUUGCUGAAGUGAUGGAUUUGGACCCUGUGUCUUCUCCGGAGAAGAUUUCUUUUACACGUGUUUCCCUGGUAGCCUGUGAAGCAAGAGGAGAGGAGGAGCAGCCACCGAUAUCCGAUUCAUUAUUACUCUCUAAGCUGUCGAAAUCAGUGCCCAAGAAAGUCACUCUCUUAUCCCUAGGCUUUUUCAGGAUGGAUCUAUGUGUAGAAUUUUUAUUUUUACUAAUAAAGGAUUUUUUUAAUUA